AACGAACGCUGGCGGCAGGCUUAACACAUGCAAGUCGAACGAGCUGGGACCUUCGGGUCCCGAUGCUAGUGGCGCACGGGUGAGUAACACGUGGGAACGUACCCUUUAGUACGGAAUAACUGAGGGAAACUUCAGCUAAUACCGUAUGACUCCUUCGGGAGAAAGAUUUAUCGCUAAAGGAUCGGCCCGCGUCUGAUUAGGUAGUUGGUGAGGUAAUGGCUCACCAAGCCUACGAUCAGUAGCUGGUCUGAGAGGAUGAUCAGCCACACUGGGACUGAGACACGGCCCAGACCUCCUACGGGAGGCAGCAGUGGGGAAUAUUGGACAAUGGGGGCAACCCCUGAUCCAGCCAUGCCGCGUGAGUG
Molecule: ribosomal RNA, 365 nt
Filed under: uncultured bacterium
Lineage: Bacteria
Description: bacterial SSU rRNA
Rfam family: Bacterial small subunit ribosomal RNA
Source: RNAcentral